GAUGAGCUUGAUGGGUACAAGAUCCUAGAUCCUAUUACGUACAAUUAUUCAUUUAUGUAUUUAUUCAUAUUUUGCAAUCCGCUUAUUUGGAUCUUCGAGUCCUCUUUUUCUUCCUUACAUGUAUGCAUAUACAAUUUUCUAUAUUUUGUUAAGACUUGUUUGAUCUAUUUUCUAGGUGGACUAUGUGUGAGGAUGGUGUAUAAGCGAGGUGAAGAAUGUGUAUGCGUUUUCAUGGGUCAAAGCAUGCAGGUUAGGCCAUUUACCUUUAUGUCAUCAUUUAUUUCAUAUUAUAUUUCGUUACAUGAUUUUAUUGUUGCAUGUCCUUACUUGUUAUCCAUACCUUACUUGUUAUCUGUUAUUUAGUUGUUACCUCUUUCUAGUUAUUUAUUUCUCCCUCAAUAUCUGCUUACCUGCUAUAUGUUCUUACUUGUACUUAUAGCAUAUCUUCAUUGUCUCGUAUCUUUACUUACCUUUACUGUCUUUACCUUUCUUGGUGCAUUGUAUUGACUUAUACGUGACUGUGUGAGUCCUUUAGCUUUUAUUGUAUUAAUGGGUUGUCGAGGUUUGCGAAUACGAGGUAUUAGUCAUUCUCUGUUUGUACUGGUCGUUCCUUAAUAUUCUAUACACUUUAUUUCCUUUUGUGUUUGAGAUUACAGAAUUUAUUUGCGUUGAGUUAUUUAUGAUAAUGAGUUGAUAUAGGGAGUAGGCUACGCGCUACAAAAGUAUUGAAAUAACUGAUAAUAGGAAAGGGUUGUACGCCACAACAGAUAUUGAUAUAAUAUUAAGAUCGGAUUGCAUAUUCGCAAUAGAUAUUAUAAUAAUAUUGGGAUCGGGUUGCGCAUUGCAAUUGAAUAUGAUAUGUAGUAUUUAUUGUAGUUGUGGUGGUCUAAUUCUGAAUUGUGAUAUGAGGUUAUGAAUUAUUUUUAUUCUAAGGUCCUCUGUUAAUUAACAUUUUGGUACCGUUAUUAUGAAUUUAUUCAUUUCUCUACAUUUCUAUUGUUUUAUAUGAAUUAUCCGUACAGGUAUUCACUGAGUGCCUUGUUAUAGCUUCGUAACUACUUUGUCGAGGUUACGCUCGACACUUACAUAGUACAUAGGAUCUGUUAUACUUAUACUACACUUUUGCACUUCUUAUUUAGAUCUAGGGGUCGCUCCUAGCGGCGCAUAGGGGAGAUUGGUCGGAUAAGACUUCUUCAAAAGACUUGCGGUAGAAUUGCAAAACAGUCGUAGUCCUUGAAGCCCGCUUCUAUCUUGUAUUACUAUUUAUCUUGCUUCAGAUCGUUGUAUUUUAUUUCAAACCAUGUUUGUUGUAUUCUAGACACUCACGUACUUGUGAUUCUGAAUUUUUUGGAUUAGAAUAUACUGUGUUACUCAUGUAUUAUAGUUUUUAUUGGCCAUUAAUUAUUAAUAUUAGUUUAAAACUAGUUACUUAUUCUACUAAUGUUAUCUUGACUAGCAAGUGGAUGUUAGAUGCCUUCAUGGUACCGUGGUUGGAAAUUUGGAUCGUGCCAAGUUGAUAUCAGAGCUCUAAGUUCUCUUGGUCUCACGAAUCAUGAGCAAGAUUAGUACAAUUUUGAAGAUCGGCACAGAUAUGUCUGCACUUAUCUUCUAGAGGCUAUAUGACUUUAGGAAAUUUCACUUCUUUCUUUCUCUACCGCGCGACUUUAUUCUAUCAUUGGCUUUGAAUUAUUAUAUUGUUCUUCUCUCAUAGAUGAUUAGGACAUGCACAACUUCCACAGCCAGUCAAAAUCAGAAGCACGGGGUUGUAGCAACUACAAGGGGCAGAGGCUGAGGCCGAGAAAAAACUAGAGCCAGAGGCAGAGCUCAUCCUAGAGCUUGCACAACAACACCUAUUGUAGAGCCUCUUAUCAAGCAGGAGAAUGAUAUCCCUACUACGGUCGCUCCAAUUGAACCAGAUUAGUUCCUAAAGAGAUGCAUUGCCACCCCCACACUUCGGGAUGCCCUAGUCUAUAUGGUCAAUUUUAUGAAGGGCAUGACCCAGCUCAGUAUAUUUCUUGUGGCACCAGCCGUUUCUCAGGCUAGGGGAGGAGUCUAGACUCCUGCUAUUCACACUCCAAAGUAGGUGACUUACGGAUAUGAGACUCCGGUAGUUCCAAUAGUUGGAGAAGUUCAGCCUGUCAUUGCUACAUAUUCCCGGAAGGGACCCUCAAUGUUGACAGAGCGGUUGAAUGGGUUGGACAGGUUCACCAAGCUAUUUUCUAUUCAUUUUAUAGGUACAUCUAUUGAGGACCCACAUGAUUUCUUGGACCAUUUCAUCAGGUGUUGUGAAACAUGGGCAUAGUGGAGUCCAAUAGAGUGCACUUUACAGUAUUUCAAAUGACUGGUUCUGCCAAGAGAUGGUGGAAGGGGUAUAUUCGGGGUAGGCCAGUAGGUUCACCUUCCCUCACAUGAGCUUAAUUCUCAUAGUUUUUCUUAGAGAAGUUCGUUACUUUCACUGAGAGAGAGGAUCUACUCCGAUAAUUUGAGUGCCUACAAUAGGGUAGUAUUACCAUUACCUAGUAAGAGACCAGAUUGGUUGAUCUAUUAUGCGAUGGAGCUAUCUUGAUCCCUUGAUAAGAGGAAUAAGGUGAGAAGAUUAAUAUAUGGCCUUACUUAUGGUAUCAGGUUGUAGAUGGUCAGAGACACUAAUGAUGAUAUUUCUUUUACAAGGUUUGUGGAGAUAGCUAGGUGGAUCAAGAGAAUUCGUGGUCAGGACAGAGAGGUGACUUCAGAAAGAGGCCUAGACAUUUCGGCGAUUUUGGUGGUGCCUCGUCUAGAGGCAGAGGUGCAUUUGGUAGAGGCCAACCUAUCAAGACCAUUCAGUUAGCACUUCAGAUGUCUCAUGAUCCUUCAAGUGGUCAUAAGGCAUAUGAUUCUCAUUCCGAGCAGCUAGUUAGUGCACCUUCAUAUCCAAUUAGUGAACCACCGCUGUAGAAUUACUAUGAUGGUUAUUCGAGUCAUCAGGAACCAUAUCAGACUCUGAAAUUAUGCCAAUCGAGGGGUUUCUUUAGUGCGAUGACGCAUGUCAUAUCAGGAGGUAGUGUCCUAGAUUGAGGAGUAGCAGAACACACCAGGGUGCUCAUGCCAUGAUUCCAACACCGGUUUCUCCACCACCCUCUCGGGCAAGUGAAGGUAGGGGUCAGGAAACAAGAGGUGGAGUCUAGUCAAUGAUAGGUUGUUAGAGAGAUAAAGGUCAAAUUGGUGGGGCUCUGCCACGUUGCCAAGCAUUUCUAGCUAGAUCAGGGGGGCAGAGUCAUCUUAUACGGUCAUCACAAGUAUUUUUCUAAUUUUUUAUAGAGAAACAUCAAUUAAUUUUGUUCGGGCUGUACUUAUUCAUUUAUGUCAUCUUAUUCUAAAUCAUAUUUGGAAACCUCUCAUGAUUCUUUGAGUACUCAUGUUUAUGUGUCUAUGCAUGUUGAGGAUUCUACUAUGGUUGAUCAUAUCUAUCACUCUUGUUUUAUCACUAUCAGGAGUUAUGAUAUUAGGAAUGACCACCUGUUACAUAAUAGGUAGAUUUUGAUGUAACUUUUGGUAUGGAUUAGUUGUCACUCUAUCAUAUUAUCUUGGAUUGUCACAGAAAGAUUAUGACGUUAGCUAUGCUGUGGUUGCCUCGAUCGGAGAGGAGAGGCACUCCUAGUCACACCAAUAGAGGGUCAUUUCAUAUGUGAAGGCUCGAGGUAUGGUUAAGAAGGGGUAUUUAGUGUAUUUUUCUUAUAUCUGUGAUUCUAGGGCCGAGGUGCCUUCAAUGGAUUUAGUUCCGGUUGUGAGAGAGUUUCUAGAGGUGUUUCCUAUAGACUUGUGGGCCAUGCCACCUGACAGAGAUAACGAAUUUUGCAUUGACUUGGUUCCAGGAACUCAACCUGUUUCUAUUCCACCAUACUAUAUAUUUAGUUGAACAAAUAUAAGGAACAAUUGCAGGAUUUUCAUGACAAAGGAUUUAUUCGACCUAGUGUCUCGCCUUUCGGUGUACUAGUAUUGUUGUGAAGAAGGUCACUAUCAAGAAUAAGCAUCUGUUGCUAAGGACUGAUGACUUUUUUGACUAGCUUCAAGGUUCCAAGGUAUUUUACAAGAUUGAAUUAAGGUCGGGCUACCAUUAGGUGAAUAUUAAGGAAUCAGAUGUCCCUAUGACAGCUUUUCGGACUCGGUAUGGUCACUACGAGUUCUUUGUAAUGUCAUUCGAGGUUGACUAAUGCCCCCGUAGCCUUCAUAGAUUUAGUGAACCAGUGUUCAAUCCUUAUCUGGAUUCCUUCAUAAUUGUCUUCAUUGAUGUUAUUCAUAUUUACUCCCAUAGUAGAGAGGAGCAUGAGCACCAAUUAUGGAUUGUACUUCAAACUUUGAGGAUCGUCAACUAUAUGUCAAGUUUUUAAAUUUUGAGUUCUAGUUUGACUCGAUUGCCUUUUUGGGCCAUAUAUCUUUCGAAGUCAACAAGGUGGACCCUAAGAAGAUUGAGGCAUUUAAGAAUUGGUCUAGACCUACUUCAGCUAUAGAGAUUCGGAGCUUCUUGGGUUUGGUGGGUUGUUAUUGCCUAUUCAUAGAGAGGUUCUCAUCAAUCUCAGCCCUAUUGACCAAGUUGACCCAAAAUGGUGCUCUUUUUAGAUGGUCCAAUGAGUGAGAGGUGAGCUUUUAAAAGCUAAAUACUGCGUUGAAUACAUCUCUAGUAUCGGUGUUGCCUACAGGUUAGGGACCUUACGCUAUGUAUUGUGAUGCGUCACAUAUCGAGCCUGGCACGGUAUAAAUACAAGACAUUAGAGUGAUUUCCUAUGCAUCUCGAUAAUUUAUGGUUCAUGAGAAGAAUUAACAUGUGCAUGAUCUUGAGUUGGCAAUCAUUGUCUAUGUACUGAAGAUUUGGAGGCACUAUCUAUAUUGCAUUUCAUGCUAGGUGUAUACUGACCAUUGAAGUCUCCAACAUCCGUUCAAGUAGAAUGACCUUAAUUUGCGGUACUAGAGAUUGUUAGAAUUGUUGCAAGACUAUGCUAUCAGCAUAUUUUACUAUCUAAGGAAGGACAAUGUAGUGGUCGAUGCAUUGAGUAGGAAGGUAGAGAGCAUGGACAGUUUAGCAUAUUUGCCGGUGGUGGAGAGACUACUAGCCAUGGAUGUUCAGGAUUUGGCCAAUCGAUUCGUGAGGUUGGAUGUUUCGGAGCCUAGCGGGGUUCUUAUUUGAGUUGUGGCAUGAUCACUGUUGUUGAAGCACAUCAAGGCUCUCUAGUUUGAUGAUCCUCACUUGUUGGUUUUGAAAUACACGGUGCAGUAGGGUGGUGCUAAAGUUGUGAUCGGAGACGAUAGUGUUAUGCUGCUUCAGAGCUGGGUUUUGUUCCAAUCUUGACGGGUCAGAGAGUUGAUUCUUGAUAAGGCUCACAACUUUAACAAUUCCAUUUACCUAUGUGUCACGAAGUUGUAUUUUGACAUAAACAUCACUAUUGGUGGCAGAGAACGAAGAAAGAUAUUAUUAGUCAUGUCUCUCUCUGUUUGAACUUUCAUAAGUGAAGUACGAGCAUCAGAAAUCGGGUGGUUUGACUCAGAGAUUACAGAUAACAGAGUGGAAGUGGGAGCGCCACUAUCAAUUUUGUGAUAGGCAUACCAUGGACCUUGAGGAAAUAUGAUGCAGUUCGGGUUAUUGUGGAUCAGUUGACUAAAUCUGCACACUUCAUUCUGGUGAUAACAUCCUAUGUUUUGGAACACUUGGCUUAGAUUUAUAUUUUGGAGGUUAUCCUCCUGCACGGCAUGACCAUUUCAAUCAUUUAUGAUCAGGGCACGUGAUUCACAUUGUAUUUUUGGAGAUUCAUUCAGCGUGAGAUGGGCACACUGGUCGAGUUGAGUAUCACAGUUCAUACUAAGACAGACGGAUAGUGCGAGUCCACUAUUCAGAUAUUGGAGGAAAUAUUGCAGGCAUGCUGUAUGGAUUUUAGGGGUUAGUGGGGCCAGAUUUACCUUUAUCGGAGUUUGCCUACAAUAAUAACUGUAAGUCGAGCAUUCAAAUAUCUCCGUACAAGGCCUUAUAUAUGAGGUGAUAUCAUUCGUCAGUUGGUUUGUUUGAGCCCGAUGAGGCUACAUUGUUAGGUAAUUAUUUAGUUUGUGAUGCUUUAGAAAAAAUUAAGGUGAUUCAGGAGAAACUUUGUACAGCUCAGUCCAGGCAAAAACAUUAUGUGUACUAGAAAGUUCCAGAAGUGGCUUACAUGGGGGGUGAGAAGUUUCUUCUCCAAGUGUCGCCUAUUAAGGGUGUGAUACAGUUUGAGAAGAAGGUCAAGUUGAGCCCGAGAUUUAUUAGCCCGCUUGAGAUCUUUGAGGGGCGUAGGGGGGUUUUUUCAAAGGUUUACAUUGCCUCCUAGCCUAGCAGGUGUAGAUCUGGUAUUUUAUGUUUCCAUACUUUGAAAGUACCAUAAAGAUAGGUCACAUGUUUUAGACUUUAGCACAAUGCAACUUGGUGAGAAUUUGACCUAUGAAGAAGAGUCGGUGGCUAUUCUAGACUGGCAAGUUAGGAAGUUGAGACCCAAGAGUUUUCCUUCUAUGAAGGUGCAGUAGAGAAGACAGCCUAUUGAGGAGUCUAUGUAGGAGUCUGAGUCCGACAUGCAUACUAGAUACCCCUACCUUUUUGCUAGUCCAGGUACAUUUUUAUGUCUAUAUGAGGACGAACAUUUCUUUUAGAGGUGGAGAAUGUGAUGAUCCGAUAGGUUGUUUUGCGUACUAGCCUUAAAUUUUGUGUUCCAAGACCUCUCAUAGCUUCAUUUCAUGUUUAUUGAUGUGUGUUCAUGGUCCGUGUCGCUUUUUGAAAAGCUUUUACGUGAAAUUUUCAAUAAAAUAUGUUUUUGACUUAAUAUGAGGUUAGGGUUGAGCAUGGCCAACAUUUCUGGUAAACUACUUCGGAUCGGUAUUUUGAUGAUUCAGGUAGCUUCGUAUGAUAUAUGUUUUAACUUGCAUGCAUGUUUUGUUGGGGUCCGGGGUGACCCGAACAUAUUUCGGUGCAUUUUGUGAAACAUUGAGAAAAUUGAGUUUAAAGUUGUAUUUCUUGAGUUUUAAUGGCCGAUUCUUGUUAUUAAAUAUUAUUUUUAUAAUUUGAGGUACCGAGCAAGUUUGUAGGAUGUUAUUACACUUUUGUUGAUGUUCGAAUUGGAGCCCGGGGGGUCACGGGUGAGUUUCGGAUGCAUUGCGGAUGAGUUUGGCACAACUGAUGCAUAACUGAUAUUGGUGUCAACCUCCAGAUCUCGCAUUUAUGAGGUACUGGUUGCAAAUGCAAGCCUCGCUUUUUCGAGUGACUGCUCACAUUUGCAAAAUAGGAACCGAGGCUGGGUUCACGUUCACUUUUGCGAUCUUUUCUGGGAUUGCUUUUGCGGCUUUAGAGUUGCAUUUGCAAAGUGCUUGUCGCAUUUGCAACUUUUGCAUGACAAUUGCACUUUUCACUUUUGCGAUAAGUGUUUUAGAUUUUUGUACAUCCCAACUGUGAACAGGAGUUCACAAUUGUGAUGUCUGUAGCUGGGUAAAAGAAGAAAAAUUAAGACUUAGAUCAUUUUACACUAUUUUUGAACCCUAAGCUCUCUAGAGGUGGAAGAAUGCUUUCUUCCCAAAUUCAUUGGAAGAUUCUUUAAUUGGUUUUCAAUCAAUUUCAAUUACUUUUCAUGAGUUUUAAACAUCAUAUCUUAGAAUUUCAUGGUAUAAAUUAGGGGUUUUGGGUACAAUUUAGGGAUAUUAUGAUAUUAAGAUUUAAACCUCAAAUUGGGGCCAAAUUCGAAACAAAUCACAUAUAUGGGCUUGGGUAUGAAUUGGGUAAUUGAGAUUUGGUCCAAAUCUCGGAUUUAGACCAUGUGAGAUUGAGGUUGACUUUUGUUGAUUUUUUCAAUUUCAUCAAAGAUUGAACCUUUUUUAUUUGUGAGUAGUUUCUAAAGAUUAUUUUGGAUUAUUUAAUAGAUAAUUGGCUAGAUUCAGUUGGGUUGGAAAUUUAUUCUUAAGAAAGACCAUGAUUGAUUAUUGAUCUGGUUGCGAAAAGAGGUAAGUGUCGUAUUUAAUUUUUAGUUGAGGGAAUUAUGACUCGUUUGGUCUAUUUGCUACGUGAACUAUGUAUGGGGACUAUGUAUAUGUGAGAUAAUUAGUAUAUAUGUGUUUUCACGGGUCAAAGCAUGUGGGUUGGGGCAUUUACCUUUAUGUCAUUUAUUCUGUGUUAUAUUUUGUUACUUGCAUCUAUUACGACAUGUCCUUACUUGUUAUCCAUACCUUCCUUGUUAUAUGUCAUUUAGUUGUUACCUAUUUCAAGUUAUUCAUUUCUCUGUAUAUAUUUGCUUACAUGUAUUAACUGCAUAUUUUUAUUGUCCCAUGUCUUUACUUUACUUUGUUGUCUUUACAUUACUUGUUGCAGUUUAUUAUGUUAUAUCCGAUUGUAUGAGUACUUUAGCUAUUUUUGUAUUAAUGGGUUGUCCAGCUUUGUGAAUUUAAGGUAGUAAUCAUUCUCUAUUUUCACUAGUAGUUCCUUGACGUUCGAUAUGCUUUAUUUUCUUUUGUGUUGAGAUUCAAGAAUUUGGUUGUAUUGAGUUAUUUAUGUCAAUGAGUUGAUUGAGAAUGGGUUGGGCGCCACAACAGUAUUGAAAUGAACUUAUAAUGGGAACAGGUUGUAUGCUACAACAGAUAUUUAUAUGAUAUUGGAAUAGGGUUGCACGUCGGAAUAAAUGUUGUGAUGAUAUUGAGAACGAAUUAUACGUCGCAACUGGGGUAUGAUGUGUGGUAUUUGUUGUAGCUAUGGCUGUCUAAUUCAGAAUUGUGAUGUGAGGUUAUUAAAUGUUGUUAUUCUGGGGUCUUUUGUUCGUAUAACUUCGGGUCCCAUUAUUAUGACUUUUAUACAUUUCUCUACGUUUAUAUUAUUUUCUAUGAAUUAUUUGUACAAGAUUUUAGUGUGUGUCUUGUCAUAUCCUCGUCGUUAUUUCGUGGAGGUUAGAGCAUAUGGACUCGAUUGUAUUCAUUCUAGACUUUUGCACUUCUUGUGUAGAUACAGGUCCUACUGGUGCAUAUGGGAGAUUGCUAGAAUCCUACUUUUUCAAGAGACCUGAGGUAGAGCUGCACGUCGUUUUUAGUCCUUCAAGUCCCAUCCUUUCUUGUAUUACUAUAUAUGUAGUUUUAGGUACUUGUGUUUUUUUU
This 9117-nucleotide long non-coding RNA is filed under the name Nicotiana benthamiana. RNAcentral describes it as "long non-coding RNA (NBEN_LNC034003)". Lineage: Eukaryota; Viridiplantae; Streptophyta; Magnoliopsida; Solanales; Solanaceae. The record is from RNAcentral.